Molecule: ribosomal RNA, 497 nt
Filed under: uncultured bacterium
Lineage: Bacteria
Description: partial 16S ribosomal RNA
Rfam family: Bacterial small subunit ribosomal RNA
Source: RNAcentral
GACGAACGCUGGCGGCGUGCCUAAUACAUGCAAGUAGAACGCUGAAGCUUGGUGCUUGCACCGAGCGGGUGAGUUGCGGACGGGUGAGUAACGCGUAGGUAACCUGCCUGGUAGCGGGGGAUAACUACUGGAAACGAUAGCUAAUACCGCAUAAGAGUAGAUGUUGCAUGACAUUUGCUUAAAAGGUGCAAUUGCAUCACUACCUGAUGGAACUGCGUCGGAUUAGUUAGUUGGGGAGGUAACGGGUCACCCAGGGAACGAUACAUAGCCGGCCUGAGAGGGGGAUCCGCCACACUGGGACUGGGACACGGCCCAGACGCCCACCGGAAGGAGCAAUAAGGAAACUUCGGGCAUGGACGGAAGGCCUACCGAACAACGCCGCGGGAGGGAAUAAGGGUCUCGGAUCCUAAAGCUCUGUUUUAAGGGAAGAAACAGUGUUAGAGUGGAAAGUUCACACUGUGACGGUAUCUUACCAGAAAGCGACGGCUAACUACGUG